ACCAAAACCAAAAACUACUUCUCUUCAAAUUCAGAUAGAAAUUCGAACAUCGAAUUUCAAUCUUAAAAAUAGAAGAUACAUUAAAGAAGCUAUAUAUUAGGUAAUGAUGCAGCAGCUAAGUACUAGUAGAACAUCUGGCGUUAGGACAUCAUUCAAUAGCUUAGUCGUAUUAGGAUCAGUAGUUAGUCGUAUUAGGAUUGCAUUUUCAGCACACAUUCAGUCUUUAUAAUUACAAGUUCAAAAUGUUUUCUGGAAACAAAAACUCUAUUUCUACGAAAGGCAUGUACACUGUUCAAAUCUUAGUCAUACAUAAUAUAUCCUCUCCAGUUUCCACCAAAUGCAAUUUCCCUUGCCAAUCAUGACACUUAAACACAUCUAAGAGAAGUCUGCUCCAAUCUACCAUCUCGACAAGGUCCAUGUCAUUGUUUCAACCAAGAAUCUGAAACAUAGGAUAUGGUAAAAAGUAUUAUUGGAGAAGCAACUCGUUACAAAUAACCACCAAAAAAAGUUUUUUAGUACAAAGCAAGACCUAUUAAGAUGAGGUGGUAUAGGCCUAAGGACAUUUCAGAGCCAAUGAGGCACUCUUUUAUAUUAAAUUCAAGACGACAUAGCAGUCUUUUUCUUAAAUUGCAAAUGUUUCAAUGAAUUAUCCUCUGUUGUGAAGAGAAAUAACGAGCAGUGUGCAUACAAAAACUGACUUACCUUGUAUUUUUCUGCUUUGUACAACCAGUCUCCUGAAAAAGAAAUAGGAAAAACAAAAUAAUGUCAAAAACUGUGAACAUAAUUUGGAGAAGCGUCUACUAUCAACGGAAUCCAAAAUGAAAUCUGUCUUGAAUCUAAGAAUCCUGUGUCAGCCGGAACAUACAUUUUGUCUUCGUAUCACAGCUUCAUCUUAUGAAUAGCUCAUGAACAGAAUUCGAUAGUGAGAGAAAGUAGCUUUUCAAGCAAAACUUGAACAGUAGCACUAAUUACAGGGUCGGCCAUUGUUGCAUUUGCUCCUUCAGACCUUCACAAUGUCUUCUUCUCAAAAGUGUCUUCUUUUACUAAAAGAAAGUGAAUAAUUUAUACACAAUGAAUUCAAACAAAGAAUAGCUUUUGUUCUGCCAUUGUUGCCUUUGCUUCGCAUUUUUUGUAUGAAACAGUAAUUUUGAAUAAUUUGGCAUAUACCGAUGAAAUGGACUAACUUUACAAAUCACAAGACGUAAGUGAGCAACAAAAACCAUUUAGAAGAAGCUUACAUGGAAUGCUUGGUCUGAUAAGCAGAGUAGAGAAACCUUCAACUUAAUGGACAGAUGCCACUCAAACUGGUCCUUCGCAACGGAUAUUGCUAUGAUAGCAUCCCUGUUAGUAGUACAAUAUUCUCAUGAGAAAUGGAGCUGAAAAACAAAACCAUAUGAAGUUGUUCUUGAACAUACAAUUUGCCUUUUGUACCGCAGAAACCUCCUAGCUGAAUCCAUGGAAACAGUCUAAAUGUAGCAUCAUCAGUAAGAAUUAUUUGAUCUGCCACACAUGAAUAGCUCAUAAACUGAUUUCAAUGGCACCAACCAUCCAUACCUUUCAUUAGCUUCACCAUAGCACCUGAAUAGAUAUGACAAAUACGGAGAUUCUUCUUCUUUCGUAUAGGUUGGGAAAGGGAAGGGGUCAGGCUUUAAUAUAACGAAAGAAAGGGGAAAAAUAGUCGGAGUUCAAAUAUAGUGAGAAUGCAAUACAUGACUUUCCUAUCAUCAUGUAAUGUUAUGGACUGAAACUAAUGUAGGCUCUAUCUAACAGCUUACUUCCUAAAUCUCCUUGCAACUAACAAACUGAUUUUCUUUCAAAACUGAUAUUUUAGCAGUUCGACAAUUUUACUUCUGAUUCUCCUUAUUGCAUCACUCAACUAUCUCAUUUUGCACUAGAAAUCAGCUCAAACAAAGGAGACCAGAAUUGAAGUUUGCAAGAAGCAUACAUAGAGCUCUUUGAACGAUAACGACAUGCGAUAGCUCAUUUUAUUUGAGAGAUUCUGUAGUCCUUACCAAAUAUUCAUGGAAGAGCCAGUAACAGGUCUAUAGCCGAAGAAUAUGUCCCGGAGAGACUGUUUACCACAGAAACCUUGUAGCAUAGCACUUGUUCUAGUCGC
RNAcentral lists this long non-coding RNA (2116 nucleotides) under Solanum tuberosum (potato). RNAcentral's name for it is "long non-coding RNA (STUB_LNC010209)". The record is from RNAcentral. Lineage: Eukaryota; Viridiplantae; Streptophyta; Magnoliopsida; Solanales; Solanaceae.